RNAcentral lists this unclassified non-coding RNA (271 nucleotides) under air metagenome. Its description in RNAcentral is "partial contains small subunit ribosomal RNA, internal transcribed spacer 1, and 5.8S ribosomal RNA". The stretch from base 1 to 46 matches the Rfam family "Eukaryotic small subunit ribosomal RNA", at positions 1786 to 1831 of the family's 1831-position model. The record is from RNAcentral.
AAGUCGUAACAAGGUUUCCGUAGGUGAACCUGCGGAAGGAUCAUUAUUGAAUGAAUGUGGGCAAGGUUGUUGCUGGUCUCAGUCAUGGGACAUGUGCACACCUUGUUCAUUCCAUCUUCACACCUCUGUGCACUUCUCAUGGGUUGGGCUGUGUCUGAAAUAUGGCAAUGGCCCUGCUCAUGUGUUAUUAUAAACCCAUGUUUGUUAUAGAAUGUUUUUUGUGCAUGAAUUGCAUAUAAUACAACUUUCAGCAACGGAUCUCUUGGCUCUC